RNAcentral lists this ribosomal RNA (550 nucleotides) under Limnospira indica DhFiWa-3. RNAcentral describes it as "bacterial SSU rRNA". It matches the Rfam family "Bacterial small subunit ribosomal RNA", at positions 268 to 832 of the family's 1533-position model. Lineage: Bacteria; Bacillati; Cyanobacteriota; Cyanophyceae; Oscillatoriales; Sirenicapillariaceae. The record is from RNAcentral.
CCAAGGCGACGAUCAGUAGCUGGUCUGAGAGGGUGAUCAGCCACACUGGGACUGAGACACGGCCCAGACUCCUACGGGAGGCAGCAGUGGGGAAUUUUCCGCAAUGGGCGCAAGCCUGACGGAGCAAGACCGCGUGGGGGAGGAAGGCUCUUGGGUUGUAAACCCCUUUUCUCAAGGAAGAACACAAUGACGGUACUUGAGGAAUAAGCCUCGGCUAACUCCGUGCCAGCAGCCGCGGUAAUACGGAGGAGGCAAGCGUUAUCCGGAAUGAUUGGGCGUAAAGCGUCCGUAGGUGGCUGUUCAAGUCUGCUGUCAAAGACAGUGGCUUAACUACUGAAAGGCAGUGGAAACUGAACAGCUAGAGUACGGUAGGGGCAGAGGGAAUUCCCGGUGUAGCCGUGAAAUGCGUAGAUAUCGGGAAGAACACCGGUGGCGAAAGCGCUCUGCUGGGCCGUAACUGACACUGAGGGACGAAAGCUAGGGGAGCGAAUGGGACUAGAUACCCCAGUAGUCCUAGCCGUAAACGAUGGAGACUAGGUGUAGCCUGUAU